GAUGAACGCUAGCGGCAGGCCUAACACAUGCAAGUCGAGCGGGAUCCACCUUCGGGUGGUGAGAGCGGCGCACGGGUGCGUAACGCGUAUGCAACCUACCUUUUGCUACGGGAUAGCCCAGGGAAACUUGGAUUAACACCGUAUAGUAUGCGGUCUCCUCAUGGGGGCUGUAUUAAAGGCUACGGCAAAAGAUGGGCAUGCGUCCUAUUAGCUAGAUGGUAAGGUAACGGCUUACCAUGGCUACGAUAGGUAGGGGCCCUGAGAGGGGGAUCCCCCACACUGGUACUGAGACACGGACCAGACUCCUACGGGAGGCAGCAGUGAGGAAUAUUGGACAAUGGGCGGAAGCCUGAUCCAGCCAUGCCGCGUGCAGGAAGACGGCCCUAUGGGUUGUAAACUGCUUUUGUACAGAACGAAAAGGUUUCUACUAAUACUAGGAGCUCAUGACGGUACUGUAAGAAUAAGCACCGGCUAACUACGUGCCAGCCGCCGCGGUAA
This 498-nucleotide ribosomal RNA is filed under the name uncultured bacterium. RNAcentral's name for it is "partial 16S ribosomal RNA". It matches the Rfam family "Bacterial small subunit ribosomal RNA", at positions 28 to 523 of the family's 1533-position model. The record is from RNAcentral.